Long non-coding RNA from Alosa sapidissima (American shad), 298 nucleotides. RefSeq lists it as uncharacterized. Lineage: Eukaryota; Metazoa; Chordata; Actinopteri; Clupeiformes; Clupeidae. The record is from RefSeq and is a predicted model, not a curated record. The transcript is spliced from 3 exons.
AUGCCAGAGACGUUGGUCUUACAGAGCCAGAAGGACUCGUCAUAUGAGAUAACAAGGGCUGAAGCCAGUUGGAUCUAAAGUGCCAAGUUAUUCGUUAUCAGGUGUUCCUGGACAGUUUUGAAACCGAGAUGUCUGAACGCCUCAAAUAAUCAGCAGUAAAGACAACAGAGACAAAUUCUCUAAUACCAAGGUCAAUGCAUUUGACUGCUGUCCAGCCCCGGGUUGCCACCGAAAACUUUAUGCAUCUUGGACUGGAAGAUGGUGUGCUUAUAAGGAAGCUAGCUACCACAGCUUUUGC